CAGGAGCCAAUCUUGCUCUAUGCUCCCUGGGACCUAGUGUGCAGUGGCUGCAGACAGCAAGUAGCCUUCUCUGGCGUGUAUACAGACUGUGGCUCCUGGGCUGUAAUAUGGGACCUUAGAGACAGUC
RNAcentral lists this small nucleolar RNA (127 nucleotides) under Sorex araneus (European shrew). RNAcentral's name for it is "Small nucleolar RNA SNORA70 (ENSSARG00000019014.1)". It matches the Rfam family "Small nucleolar RNA SNORA70". Rfam says of the family: snoRNA U70 seems to be exclusive to mammals and is a member of the H/ACA class of snoRNA which contain H (ANANNA) and ACA box motifs. H/ACA box snoRNAs are involved in the conversion of uridines to pseudouridines (5-ribosyluracil) a constituent of structural RNAs (transfer, ribosomal, small nuclear, and small nucleolar). The record is from RNAcentral. Lineage: Eukaryota; Metazoa; Chordata; Mammalia; Eulipotyphla; Soricidae.